Non-coding RNA from Chinchilla lanigera (long-tailed chinchilla), 903 nucleotides. Lineage: Eukaryota; Metazoa; Chordata; Mammalia; Rodentia; Chinchillidae. The record is from the annotation of a RefSeq genome assembly.
CAUCAAAAACUUGUCUCCUGUUUACAGUUAAGCAUCAGUAAAUGUGCUUGAGUGCUGGGACAUCAGCAAGAUUGCAACACGAUAACAAGUGCCGGGAUGAUUCACCACACACUUAAGACCAGCCUCGUUUCCUCCCCAGCUCAAGGGGAUGGGAUCCCUCUGCUCUGGUGGCAGAUCUUCAAGAGGGAGGGGCAGCCUGCACUUGUGGUCCAGAAAAGGAGACUAGCUGAAGCAAAGACUGCGUGAAACUAUGCUGUGCGCUCUUCUUGGCCUUCUCCUGGGUACUUCCUUAGGUGCCAGAGCUCAGACAGUCCAUCAAUGGCCGGCUACCAAGGUGCAGCCUGUGGGUAGCCCCUUCUCUCUAGAGUGCACUGUGAAGGGGAAAUCAAACAUCAAUCUAUACUGGUACCGGCAGGUGGCAGGAGGGGCCCUCCAGCUGCUCUUCUACUCCAUCACCGUGGGUGAGGUGACCUCUGAGGCGGCCCUCAACUUCUCAGCCUCCAGACCCCAGGACGGCCAGUUCAUCCUGAGCUCUAAGAAACUGCUCCUCAGUGACUCUGGUUUCUACCUCUGUGCCUGGAGUCUCACAAUGAACCAGGCUGGGCAGACAUCUGUGCAAAAACCCCAACCCUCCCUGAGUCCUAAGCACUCUUCCCUGGGCACUCGGUGAGGUACUGGGUGGAGGGUGUUUUUGACUGGGCUUCUAGCUGCCAGCCAAGGCGAGAUCCAGGAAUCAUUGAGAGUCAAGCCAGAAUUCUCCAAAGAACUUUAGUAAGUUCUUCAUAAAAAAAAUGUAUGUGUAUAGAACCUAAGAUUGCCUAUACAUACUCCAGUUUCCUCAGUGUGGAUGCCUAGGUCAUCAUACCAUUCCUUGAAGUUUGUUAUUAUUGCCUAAUAUCCUGU